AAUGGGCACUGAACACCCAAGAUUCCCAUGGCGGGGGGCUAGCCAGAAAUAUAGAACAGACUUCAACAACUUGGGGCCUUAGACAUGGAUGCCAAGGAAGAGGCAUUUCCUGUAAAUCCCUCAUCUGUAUCCUCAAAUAACUUGAAACUAUCCUGGCACUGGCAGGCACGAGGCUGAAUCCAACGGGCUCCUUGCGUUUGUCCAUUCACUCUGCUCACCCCAACUUCCAGCACCACCAUGUAUAUGGCUCAGAAAGCAGAGGGGAGACUCAAAGUUGAAAAAGAUAAAUUUCAAACAGCUGCAACAGAGGUGACCCCGGACCACAUAGGCAGAAACCUGAAAUGACCUGAGGUUUGGGAGUAAGACAGCAAAAGUGGUAGCAGAAUCUCAGUUAAGUCCAGCACAAAUAUUUCAGAACUGCUAUUGCUCCCUUGUAGUCUUCUCUGAAGUUCAACAAUGGAAAGAAAAGGAUGGGGGUGUGCAUGUAUUGAAAACAUCACCCAAACCCGUAUUUUAAAUGUUCAAGAUGAUUUUCUUCUAUACUACCCUCAAGAGUUUUCAUCUUUUAAGAUUCUUA
Long non-coding RNA from Zalophus californianus (California sea lion), 577 nucleotides. RefSeq lists it as uncharacterized. Lineage: Eukaryota; Metazoa; Chordata; Mammalia; Carnivora; Otariidae. The transcript has 3 exons. The record is from RefSeq and is a predicted model, not a curated record.